This 673-nucleotide ribosomal RNA is filed under the name uncultured bacterium. Its description in RNAcentral is "bacterial SSU rRNA". It matches the Rfam family "Bacterial small subunit ribosomal RNA", at positions 8 to 660 of the family's 1533-position model. The record is from RNAcentral.
AGAGUUUGAUCCUGGCUCAGAUUGAACGCUGGCGGCAGGCCUAACACAUGCAAGUCGAGCGGCAGCGACUUAACUGAACCUUCGGGGAACGUUAAGGGCGGCGAGCGGCGGACGGGUGAGUAAUGCCUGGGAAUAUGCCCUGAUGUGGGGGAUAACUAUUGGAAACGAUAGCUAAUACCGCAUAAUCUCUUCGGAGCAAAGAGGGGGACCUUCGGGCCUCUCGCGUCAGGAUUAGCCCAGGUGGGAUUAGCUUGUUGGUGAGGUAAUGGCUCACCAAGGCAACGAUCCCUAGCUGGUCUGAGAGGAUGAUCAGCCACACUGGAACUGAGACACGGUCCAGACUCCUACGGGAGGCAGCAGUGGGGAAUAUUGCACAAUGGGGGAAACCCUGAUGCAGCCAUGCCGCGUGUGUGAAGAAGGCCUUCGGGUUGUAAAGCACUUUCAGUAGGGAGGAAGGUAGUGUAGUUAACACCUGCAUUAUUUGACGUUACCUACAGAAGAAGCACCGGCUAACUCCGUGCCAGCAGCCGCGGUAAUACGGAGGGUGCGAGCGUUAAUCGGAAUUACUGGGCGUAAAGCGCAUGCAGGCGGCCUGUUAAGUCAGAUGUGAAAGCCCGGGGCUUAACCUCGGAAUUGCAUUUGAAACUGGCAGGCUAGAGUCUUGUAGAGGGGG